RNAcentral lists this ribosomal RNA (525 nucleotides) under uncultured bacterium. RNAcentral describes it as "bacterial SSU rRNA". It matches the Rfam family "Bacterial small subunit ribosomal RNA", at positions 397 to 916 of the family's 1533-position model. The record is from RNAcentral.
CCGCGUGAGCGAAGAAGGCCUUCGGGUCGUAAAGCUCUGUUGUAAAGGAAGAACGGCGCAUACAGGAAAUGGUAUGCGAGUGACGGUACUUUACCAGAAAGCCACGGCUAACUACGUGCCAGCAGCCGCGGUAAUACGUAGGUGGCGAGCGUUAUCCGGAAUCAUUGGGCGUAAAGAGGGAGCAGGCGGCCGCAAGGGUCUGUGGUGAAAGACCGAAGCUAAACUUCGGUAAGCCAUGGAAACCGGGCGGCUAGAGUGCGGAAGAGGAUCGUGGAAUUCCAUGUGUAGCGGUGAAAUGCGUAGAUAUAUGGAGGAACACCAGUGGCGAAGGCGACGGUCUGGGCCGCAACUGACGCUCAUUCCCGAAAGCGUGGGGAGCAAAUAGGAUUAGAUACCCUAGUAGUCCACGCCGUAAACGAUGGUCACUAAGUGUCGGGGGUCAAACCCCGGUGCUGCAGUCAACGCAAUAAGUGACCCGCCUGAGUAGUACGUUCGCAAGAAUGAAACUCAAAUGAAAUUUGACGG